CGUGAGGAACCUGCCUUGGAGAGGGGGAUAACACUCCGAAAGGAGUGCUAAUACCGCAUGAUGCAGUUGGGUCGCAUGGCUCUGACUGCCAAAGAUUUAUCGCUCCGAGAUGGCCUCGCGUCUGAUUAGCUAGUAGGCGGGGUAACGGCCCACCUAGGCGACGAUCAGUAGCCGGACUGAGAGGUUGACCGGCCACAUUGGGACUGAGACACGGCCCAG
This 219-nucleotide ribosomal RNA is filed under the name uncultured bacterium. RNAcentral describes it as "partial 16S ribosomal RNA". It matches the Rfam family "Bacterial small subunit ribosomal RNA", at positions 116 to 334 of the family's 1533-position model. The record is from RNAcentral.